GGGCGUUAAGUUGCAGGGUAUAGACCCGAAACCCGGUGAUCUAGCCAUGGGCAGGUUGAAGGUUGGGUAACACUAACUGGAGGACCGAACCGACUAAUGUUGAAAAAUUAGCGGAUGACCUGUGGCUGGGGGUGAAAGGCCAAUCAAACCGGGAGAUAGCUGGUUCUCCCCGAAAGCUAUUUAGGUAGCGCCUCGUGAAUUCAUCUCCGGGGGUAGAGCACUGUUUCGGCUAGGGGGCCAUCCCGGCUUACCAACCCGAUGCAAACUGCGAAUACCGGAGAAUGUUAUCACGGGAGACACACGGCGGGUGCUAACGUCCGUCGUGAAGAGGGAAACAACCCAGACCGCCAGCUAAGGUCCCAAAGUCAUGGUUAAGUGGGAAACGAUGUGGGAAGGCCCAGACAGCCAGGAUGUUGGCUUAGAAGCAGCCAUCAUUUAAAGAAAGCGUAAUAGCUCACUGGUCGAGUCGGCCUGCGCGGAAGAUGUAACGGGGCUAAACCAUGCACCGAAGCUGCGGCAGCGACGCUUAUGCGUUGUUGGGUAGGGGAGCGUUCUGUAAGCCUG
RNAcentral lists this ribosomal RNA (564 nucleotides) under Salmonella enterica. RNAcentral's name for it is "partial 23S ribosomal RNA". It matches the Rfam family "Bacterial large subunit ribosomal RNA", at positions 690 to 1251 of the family's 2925-position model. The record is from RNAcentral. RNAcentral also lists the same sequence under 1 other name. Lineage: Bacteria; Pseudomonadati; Pseudomonadota; Gammaproteobacteria; Enterobacterales; Enterobacteriaceae.